CGUAAGUUCAUCCGAACUCCUACUUAGGGUAGAUAUAUUUUUUUUCUUUUUUUUCUUUUUUAAGAAUAGGUAGCGAGCUACCUGCUUCAUUCAUUAAGCAAAAUGAACUAGGCGAAUAUUUUGGAAGCAGCCAGGGCCUCCGUUGAAGGAAAGAGACAAAAGAAACAGAAAGAGAAAGAGAAAGAGGUAGAAAGCGUAACUAAAAGUAAAUGCAGGAAGAAAGUCAGAGAUGCUCCAUCCAAGCUUUGGCAAGGGAGAUGACUCGGUGAAGGGCCCGAGCGGCAUGGGGGGCUGCCGAGUUGAAGAUAAUAUAUAUAUAUAUUUUCGCGAAUUUGGACUUCAGUUGAAGUGCAUUUUGAGUUUUUUGAGUUUAAUUGGAGUUCAAAUGAAAAUGGUACUGUUUGUUUUUAGGACAGUAAAAGUAAAAUUCUUUUAGUUCUGCCCUUCGUUUGGUAGUUGUAAAAUAAAAUUAUUACAUGGCCUCUUAUACAACUUGAUAAAUAAAUAAAUUAUAACAUUAUAAAUAAAAAUAUAAUAUAAUUAUAUAAUUAUACAAAUAAUAAAUUAUAAAAAAAUGAUGUAAAUAAUAAAUUAUAAUAUAAUAAAAAAGUUAAAAAUAAUAGAAUUAUAAAAGUUAUAAAUUAUAAUGUAAAGUCGAGUGGAAAUUAAAACAAAGUGGGUUCUG
RNAcentral lists this long non-coding RNA (685 nucleotides) under Ananas comosus (pineapple). RNAcentral describes it as "long non-coding RNA (ACOM_LNC025485)". Lineage: Eukaryota; Viridiplantae; Streptophyta; Magnoliopsida; Poales; Bromeliaceae. The record is from RNAcentral.